CUUCCAAUGUUUUAUUUUUUCUUCCGAUUAUUAGAUCUACACAACACUUGUACAUUGUACAUUGCUGUUGUUGAAUCUUGUCAUUCCUCAAGGAAGGAGUGUUAGACAGACAGCAUCAAUGAUGGACAAAAACCUUGUAACCAUCCUUGCACUUUGAAUUUUCAUAGUGAAGAAAACUAAUGGGGAAAAAUGAGUCUGAGAUGCUUUUUUGCUUUCUUUUUGGCCUUGAGUUUUUUGUAUGAAAAGGAAUUUUUUUUUUCAAUCUGUAUACUUUUUAGUGUUAUCAGGAUCAAUGAUGUUUAAAUACUGCGUUAUCUUCCUGAAAAAAUUUCUCCAAGCGAGGAAUUUUGUUAGAUGACAAAAUGCCUACUGAGGUCCUUCUUCCAAAAACAGUUUUUUGCUUUUGGUUUGAUUUCAUGAUUUUAUUUAGAGUUUCCUUAAUUUUUGAGUACUCUGUUUGGCGUUUGGCUGAUUUUGAAUUUGUCUAUUUGUUGUAAUUGUAAGUUGCCAAAUAACUUUGUAUGGUUGUCACCCCAGUCUUACAUGCAUCAAUGGUGCAAGAUGGUGAUUGACUUCAAUUUCUGAUUCAAAUAAUUACAUAAGGAUAUUGUCAAGACUUGGUUAAUGGAAUUUCAAAUCUAGACUUGAAAUUGUAAGGUAUUAUCUACUAGCGCACACAUUCUAGAAUGAAGUUUAGAAAGCCAUAUCAUUCGCUUUCUUGGUUUUAUCAAGAACAUUGUUGGUACUGACCAAUACACAUCUUUGUUUUCCAGCGCACUUAGGGUUUAAUCCUGUAGAUUUGAAUGAAAGAUUGAUAUACAGGUAUUGAGAACCACAUUGGAUCAUAUGCUUGUUUCAACUUGGUGAAUCAUGGAGGAAAUUGGCAGCUUAACUUAGAACCACAUUGGAUCAUUCUCUGUGGUACAUGUUGAUCCAUGAAGGAUGGAGCCUUGAAGAAACCCAAAAUGCCUAAGUAGGUUUUGAAGAAGUCAAGCAAAAAAGUGGAGGAAGUGCAAAGUAGCGUGGCGACCAAGUAUGAUUUAGAAGCUCCUGAGCUGUUGCAGGUAUUAACGCCCCAGUCUUACAUGCAUCAACGGUGCGAAAUAUUUAAUCUCUUGUGGAUUAAUAACCAGGCUUCUAAUGGGCACUUCACAGAGGACUCACAAAGUAAAGAAGUAAUAUUUGUCCGGAGGUAAUUUACAACAGGUCUUGAAGUGUUUGGGUGUGAUAAACGUGAACCAGGAAACUCCAUAUGGUGACAUUGUUAAUGGCAGCAGCUCCACGGAUUUUAGCAAAUCUAUAGUCAGUGAUAGGAUAUGAAAGAGACUAUUAACAUGCUGAAGAAAUUGUAGACAAAGAUCCUCAAGAUGAAGAAGCCCAUGCAAUUGCAACCACCAUGCAGAAAAUGAAAUAGCUUACUUAGUUCUCAGUACAGUUGCAGUCCUUGAGGUCAUUUGAGUUUAACCAUUUAGUUGGUAGAUGAAUGGGAAUGAGAUUGGUAGAUGUCACCAAACUUUUGUAGAGUAUGGCUUUACAAACAAGUUAGGAGGGCACAUAGGAAAACAGAAUACAACAAAGACUUUUGUUUUUCGAUGUCAUUUCUAGUAUCCGAACUCACGACAAAAAACAACCAACCUAACUAGAGAUGCCUUUAUCCUCUUGUAAGUAACAUUAAAGUAAAUCAAGAUGGUGAAAAAGAUACCAUUAGUGUGAA
Long non-coding RNA from Papaver somniferum (opium poppy), 1714 nucleotides. RefSeq lists it as uncharacterized. Lineage: Eukaryota; Viridiplantae; Streptophyta; Magnoliopsida; Ranunculales; Papaveraceae. The transcript is spliced from 3 exons. The record is from RefSeq and is a predicted model, not a curated record.